RNAcentral lists this ribosomal RNA (484 nucleotides) under uncultured bacterium. RNAcentral describes it as "partial 16S ribosomal RNA". It matches the Rfam family "Bacterial small subunit ribosomal RNA", at positions 29 to 507 of the family's 1533-position model. The record is from RNAcentral.
AUUGAACGCUGGCGGCAUGCUUUACACAUGCAAGUCGAACGGCAGCGCGGGCUUCGGCCUGGCGGCGAGUGGCGAACGGGUGAGUAAUACAUCGGAACGUGCCCAGUAGUGGGGGAUAGCUCGGCGAAAGCCGGAUUAAUACCGCAUACGACCUGAGGGUGAAAGCGGGGGAUCUUCGGACCUCGCGCUAUUGGAGCGGCCGAUGGCAGAUUAGCUAGUUGGUGGGGUAAAGGCCUACCAAGGCGACGAUCUGUAGCUGGUCUGAGAGGACGACCAGCCACACUGGGACUGAGACACGGCCCAGACUCCUACGGGAGGCAGCAGUGGGGAAUUUUGGACAAUGGGCGAAAGCCUGAUCCAGCAAUGCCGCGUGUGUGAUGAAGGCCUUCGGGUUGUAAAGCACUUUUGGCGGGAACGUAAAGGACUGUGCCAAUACCACGGUUCGAUGACGGUACCCGCAGAAUAAGCACCGGCUAACUACGUG